ACUAGUUUACAUACACUUAGGUUGGAGUCAUUAAAACUAGUUUACAUACACUUAGGUUGGAGUCAUUAAAACUAGUUUACAUACACUUAGGUUGGAGUCAUUAAAACUAGUUUACAUCCACUUAGGCUGGAGUCAUUAAAACUAGUUUACAUACACUUAGGCUGGAGUCAUUAAAACUAGUUUACAUACACUUAGGCUGGAGUCAUUAAAACUAGUUUACAUACACUUAGGCUGGAGUCAUUAAAACUAGUUUACAUACACUUAGGCUGGAGUCAUUAAAACUAGUUUACAUACACUUAGGCUGGAGUCAUUAAAACUAGUUUACAUACACUUAGGCUGGAGUCAUUAAAACUAGUUUACAUACACUUAGGCUGGAGUCAUUAAAACUAGUUUACAUACACUUAGGCUGGAG
Oncorhynchus keta (chum salmon) is the source of this 412-nucleotide long non-coding RNA. RefSeq lists it as uncharacterized. Lineage: Eukaryota; Metazoa; Chordata; Actinopteri; Salmoniformes; Salmonidae. The record is from RefSeq and is a predicted model, not a curated record. The transcript is spliced from 3 exons.